CAGCACCUCAAGUGGUCAGGAUGAUUAUUGGGCCUAAAGCAUCCGUAGCCGGCUCUGUUAGUUUUCGGUUAAAUCUGUACGCUCAACGUACAGGCUGCCGGGAAUACUGCAGAGCUAGGGAGUGGGAGAGGUAGACGGUACUCGGUAGGAAGGGGUAAAAUCCUUUGAUCUAUUGAUGACCACCUGUGGCGAAGGCGGUCUACCAGAACACGUCCGACGGUGAGGGAUGAAAGCUGGGGGAGCAAACCGGAUUAGAUACCCGAGUAGUCC
RNAcentral lists this ribosomal RNA (270 nucleotides) under uncultured archaeon. RNAcentral's name for it is "partial 16S ribosomal RNA". It matches the Rfam family "Archaeal small subunit ribosomal RNA", at positions 477 to 747 of the family's 1478-position model. The record is from RNAcentral.